This 775-nucleotide ribosomal RNA is filed under the name uncultured Neocallimastigales. RNAcentral's name for it is "partial large subunit ribosomal RNA". It matches the Rfam family "Eukaryotic large subunit ribosomal RNA", at positions 23 to 648 of the family's 3401-position model. Lineage: Eukaryota; Fungi; Neocallimastigomycota; Neocallimastigomycetes; Neocallimastigales. The record is from RNAcentral.
AGAGAUGUGUGAUGACGCAUAUCAAUAAGCGGAGGAAAAGAAACUAACAAGGAUUCCCCUAGUAACGGCGAGUGAAGCGGGAAGAGCUCAAAUUUGAAAUCUUAAAGGGUUUCCCUUUACGAAUUGUAGUUUAAAGAAGUGUUUUCUGUUGGAGUUUCGGUAAAAGUUCUUUGGAAUAGGACAUCAUAGAGGGUGAGUAUCCCGUAUUUGACCGUUACUUUCCAGCUGUGUGAUACACUUUCAAAGAGUCGGAUUGUUUGGGAAUGCAGUCCAAGAUGGGUGGUAAAUUUCAUCUAAAGCUAAAUAUUGGCGAGAGACCGAUAGCGAACAAGUACCGUGAGGGAAAGAUGAAAAGAACUUUGAAAAGAGAGUUAAACAGUACGUGAAAUUGUCAAAAGGGAAGCGUUUGACACCAGUGUUGUUUUUCCGAAAAUCAAUUACGAAUGUUUUGUUUUUAAGAAGUUAUGACUUCAUCGGCUUGCUUCUUUCUUUACGAAACUUUCUUAAUGCACUUUUCGGUUAACAAGUCAACAUCAAUUUCUUUUGUUGUAAAAGGGUAUGAGGAAGGUGGCUUUCUUUUCGGAGAAAGUGUUUAUAGCCUUGUACCUCUGCAAUCGGAGAGAUUGAGGUCUGCAGCGUAGAUCCUUCGGGAUUAGAUACAUUUGUGCUAAGUUAUAGCUUUUCAUAGACAACUUGUUGACUAUGUUUAGUCUUGUAGCUUACUCGCUUAUGCUAUUUUACCUACGCUUAGGAUGUUGACGAUCAGCUGAGCGCG